This is a non-coding RNA of Mycena latifolia, 93 nucleotides long. Lineage: Eukaryota; Fungi; Basidiomycota; Agaricomycetes; Agaricales; Mycenaceae. The record is from the annotation of a GenBank genome assembly.
CACCCGAUGGCACAAGGUGUGUAUCUGCUAUAUUUAAAGACGCGAUCGAAGCUAUUUAUGCAGAAGGGCCCCGUUCGAUUCGGGGUCGGGUGA